UACAGAGGUCUCAAGCGUUGUUCGGAUUCAUUGGGCGUAAAGGGUGCGUAGGUGGCGCUGUAAGUCGGGUGUGAAAUUUCGGAGCUUAACUCCGAAACUGCAUUCGAUACUGCGGUGCUUGAGGACUGGAGAGGAGACUGGAAUUCAUGGUGUAGCAGUGAAAUGCGUAGAGAUCAUGAGGAAGACCAGUGGCGAAGGCGGGUCCCUGGACAGUUCCUGACACUGAGGCACGAAGGCCAGGGGAGCAAACAGG
This 253-nucleotide ribosomal RNA is filed under the name uncultured bacterium. RNAcentral's name for it is "partial 16S ribosomal RNA". It matches the Rfam family "Bacterial small subunit ribosomal RNA", at positions 524 to 776 of the family's 1533-position model. The record is from RNAcentral.